UACGAAGGGGGCUAGCGUUGCUCGGAAUUACUGGGCGUAAAGCGCACGUAGGCGGAUUGUUAAGUCGGGGGUGAAAUCCUGGAGCUCAACUCCAGAACUGCCUUCGAUACUGGCGAUCUCGAGUUCGGGAGAGGUGAGUGGAACUGCGAGUGUAGAGGUGAAAUUCGUAGAUAUCGAGAGGAACACCGGUGGCGAAGGCGGCCAACUGGACAGAUACUGACGCUGAGACACGAAAGCGUGGGGAGCAAACAGG
Molecule: ribosomal RNA, 253 nt
Filed under: uncultured bacterium
Lineage: Bacteria
Description: partial 16S ribosomal RNA
Rfam family: Bacterial small subunit ribosomal RNA
Source: RNAcentral